AAGUCGAGCGAACGGACGAGAAGCUUGCUUCUCUGAUGUUAGCGGCGGACGGGUGAGUAACACGUGGAUAACCUACCUAUAAGACUGGGAUAACUUCGGGAAACCGGAGCUAAUACCGGAUAAUAUUUUGAACCGCAUGGUUCAAAAGUGAAAGACGGUCUUGCUGUCACUUAUAGAUGGAUCCGCGCUGCAUUAGCUAGUUGGUAAGGUAACGGCUUACCAAGGCAACGAUGCAUAGCCGACCUGAGAGGGUGAUCGGCCACACUGGGACUGAGACACGGCCCAGACUCCUACGGGAGGCAGCAGUAGGGAAUCUUCCGCAAUGGACGAAAGUCUGACGGAGCAACGCCGCGUGAGUGAUGAAGGCUUUCGGGUCGUAAAACUCUGUUGUUAGGGAAGAACAAGUGCUAGUUGAAUAAGCUGGCACCUUGACGGUACCUAACCAGAAAGCCACGGCUAACUACGUGCCAGCAGCCGCGGUAAUACGUAGGUGGCAAGCGUUAUCCGGAAUUAUUGGGCGUAAAGCGCGCGCAGGUGGUUUCUUAAGUCUGAUGUGAAAGCCCACGGCUCAACCGUGGAGGGUCAUUGGAAACUGGGAGACUUGAGUGCAGAAGAGGAAAGUGGAAUUCCAUGUGUAGCGGUGAAAUGCGUAGAGAUAUGGAGGAACACCAGUGGCGAAGGCGACUUUCUGGUCUGUAACUGACACUGAGGCGCGAAAGCGUGGGGAGCAAACAGGAUUA
Molecule: ribosomal RNA, 740 nt
Filed under: uncultured Bacillus sp.
Lineage: Bacteria; Bacillati; Bacillota; Bacilli; Caryophanales; Bacillaceae
Description: bacterial SSU rRNA
Rfam family: Bacterial small subunit ribosomal RNA
Source: RNAcentral